Molecule: unclassified non-coding RNA, 244 nt
Filed under: uncultured fungus
Lineage: Eukaryota; Fungi
Description: sequence contains ITS2
Source: RNAcentral
AACGCACAUUGCGCCCCUUGGUAUUCCGGGGGGCAUGCCUGUCCGAGCGUCAUUAGCACCCCUCAAGCGUCAGCUUGGUCUUGGCCCGUGCCGGUGACGGUAGGGCCCAAACGCAGUGGUGGUGCCUCGAAGGCCCUGAACGUAGUAAUUGCUCCUCGUUCCUGGACCCUGGAGGCUGCUCACCAGCAACCCUAAUUUCAUCAUGGUUGACCUCGGAUCAGGUAGGGAUACCCGCUGAACUUAA